Molecule: ribosomal RNA, 448 nt
Filed under: uncultured bacterium
Lineage: Bacteria
Description: bacterial SSU rRNA
Rfam family: Bacterial small subunit ribosomal RNA
Source: RNAcentral
CGGCCAGACUCCUACGGGAGGCAGCAGUGGGGAAUAUUGCACAAUGGGGGAAACCCUGAUGCAGCGACGCCGCGUGAGCGAGGAAGUCUUUCGGUAUGUAAAGCUCUGUCAGCAGGGAAGAAGAAUGACGGUACCUGAAGAAGAAGCACCAGCUAAAUACGUGCCAGCAGCCGCGGUAAUACGUAUGGUGCAAGCGUUAUCCGGAUUUACUGGGUGUAAAGGGAGCGUAGACGGUUAUGUAAGUCUGGAGUGAAAGCCCGGGGCCCAACCCCGGGACUGCUUUGGAAACUGUGUAACUGGAGUACAGGAGGGGCAGGCGGAAUUCCUGGUGUAGCGGUGAAGUGCGUAGAUAUCAGGAGGAACACCGGCGGCGAAGGCGGCCUGCUGGACUGAAACUGACGUUGAGGCUCGAAAGCGUGGGGAGCAAACAGGAUUAGAUACCCCAGUA